This 495-nucleotide long non-coding RNA is filed under the name Pelobates cultripes (western spadefoot toad). Lineage: Eukaryota; Metazoa; Chordata; Amphibia; Anura; Pelobatidae. The record is from RNAcentral.
CACAGUCCGUCACCAAUUCUUCGACAUGUGAAUCGUGGAAGAGAAUUUACCCGAUCACUCACGGACAUGUAAAACCACCUGAUGGAGUCACCAUCUACCCAGGUAAUUACACAUGUUAUACAAUAUCUAAAAACACCGGUUUGUAUUUGGGCAAAUUCCCAUCAGGAUAUUGCUCAACUUACCAUAAUCCACCCGUAUCACUGCUAAUGAACCACACAAAGACAAUCGGCGACAUCUAUUGGUUAUGUGGGGAUAAACAAUUGAGGUCCCAAUUAAUUGGGCAAUGGUGGGGGGAGUGUGCCCUAACCAAAGUCAUAAUGCCUAUCCAUAUCAUUCCAGAUGGUGACCAUAACACGUUAAACCUCACACAUGCACACUCUAGAACCAAACGAGAGACUCCUAUUCGAGGGAGUUUCGACCCCCAUGUGUAUAUUGAUGCCAUAGGUGUGCCAAGGGGGGUGCCUAACGAAUUCAAAGCAAGAGAUGAAGUGGCUG